This 448-nucleotide ribosomal RNA is filed under the name uncultured bacterium. RNAcentral's name for it is "bacterial SSU rRNA". It matches the Rfam family "Bacterial small subunit ribosomal RNA", at positions 355 to 825 of the family's 1533-position model. The record is from RNAcentral.
UAGGGAAUAUUGGACAAUGGGUGAGAGCCUGAUCCAGCCAUGCCGCGUGAGUGAUGAAGGCCCUAGGGUUGUAAAGCUCUUUUCACCGGUGAAGAUAAUGACGGUAACCGGAGAAGAAGCCCCGGCUAACUUCGUGCCAGCAGCCGCGGUAAUACGAAGGGGGCUAGCGUUGUUCGGAUUUACUGGGCGUAAAGCGCACGUAGGCGGACUUUUAAGUCAGGGGUGAAAUCCCGGGGCUCAACCCCGGAACUGCCUUUGAUACUGGAAGUCUUGAGUAUGGUAGAGGUGAGUGGAAUUCCGAGUGUAGAGGUGAAAUUCGUAGAUAUUCGGAGGAACACCAGUGGCGAAGGCGGCUCACUGGACCAUUACUGACGCUGAGGUGCGAAAGCGUGGGGAGCAAACAGGAUUAGAUACCCGCGUAGUCCCUGAGCGGGCUGGCAAGGCGCAU